AUGGAGCCGGGCCCCGACGCGCCUCGCGGCGAGGGAGCGAGCGCGCCGGAGGAGUCUGGACCGUCCUCAUCCUCGGUGGCCGUGGAGAAAGCUGAAGAGCCACAGGCACAAGCGCAGCCGCCGGAAGGAGGAGGCCAGCAAGCCGCAGUGCAGGAGCACCUGCAGCCGCAGCCGCUGUCGCAGCAGCCGCCUGUGCCGGCGGGGCUGAGCCGGUACGAGUCGCAGAAGCGCCGCGACUGGAACACCUUCCUGCAGUACCUGCGCAACCACAAGCCGCCGCUGACGCUGGCGCGGUGCAGCGGCGCGCACGUCAUCGAGUUCCUCAAGUACCUGGACCAGUUCGGCAAGACCAAGGUGCACGCCGACGGCUGCGCCUACUUCGGCCAGCCGAACCCGCCGGCCCCGUGCGCGUGCCCGCUCCGACAGGCAUGGGGCAGCCUCGACGCGCUCAUUGGCCGCCUGCGCGCCGCCUACGAGGAGUCAGGCGGCCGCCCCGAGUCCAACCCCUUCGCCGCGCGCGCCGUGCGCAUCUACCUGCGCGAGGUGCGCGAGGCGCAGGCCAAGGCUCGCGGGAUCCCCUACGAGAAGAAGAAGCGCAAGCGCGGCAGCACGUCCGCCCCCUCGGCGCCGCCUCCCGUUGUCACCGCCGCGGAAGCGGCAGCGACCUCCGGAGGCGGCGAGGACAACGACGACGAGCCGUCACAGUCCGCUGAGCAACAGCACACAACGCCAGCGUCUCCUCCGACUAGAAGUAGUAGCGCCGGCGCUACUAGUACCACCGCAGCGGCGGCAGCAACGACGACGACGACAACGAGAGGGAAGGAGAAGGAAGCGGCAGAAGGAUCAGCGUGA
Molecule: ribosomal RNA, 852 nt
Filed under: Triticum aestivum (bread wheat)
Lineage: Eukaryota; Viridiplantae; Streptophyta; Magnoliopsida; Poales; Poaceae
Description: partial small subunit ribosomal RNA
Source: RNAcentral